AGCUCGAGCUUACCCAUGCCGGCCUGGUCGUGCCUGAUCUUAUGUGCAUUUAGAAGCCAAGCCGGCUCGGGCCUGGUUGGUACCCAGAUGGGGGAAUACAUGGUGCUCCAGCUA
RNAcentral lists this ribosomal RNA (114 nucleotides) under Monopterus albus (swamp eel). Lineage: Eukaryota; Metazoa; Chordata; Actinopteri; Synbranchiformes; Synbranchidae. The record is from RNAcentral.